CGCUGGCGGCAGGCCUAACACAUGCAAGUCGAACGGUAACAGGAAGCAGCUUGCUGCUUUGCUGACGAGUGGCGGACGGGUGAGUAAUGUCUGGGAAACUGCCCGAUGGAGGGGGAUAACUACUGGAAACGGUAGCUAAUACCGCAUAACGUCGCAAGACCAAAGAGGGGGACCUUCGGGCCUCUUGCCAUCGGAUGUGCCCAGAUGGGAUUAGCUAGUAGGUGGGGUAAAGGCUCACCUAGGCGACGAUCCCUAACUGGUCUGAGAGGAUGACCAGCCACACUGGAACUGAGACACGGUCCAGACUCCUACGGGAGGCAGCAGUGGGGAAUAUUGCACAAUGGGCGCAAGCCUGAUGCAGCCAUGCCGCGUGUAUGAAGAAGGCCUUCGGGUUGUAAAGUACUUUCAGCGGGGAGGAAGGGAGUAAAGUUAAUACCUUUGCUCAUUGACGUUACCCGCAGAAGAAGCACCGGCUAACUCCGUGCCAGCAGCCGCGGUAAUACGGAGGGUGCAAGCGUUAAUCGGAAUUACUGGGCGUAAAGCGCACGCAGGCGGUUUGUUAAGUCAGAUGUGAAAUCCCCGGGCUCAACCUGGGAACUGCAUCUGAUACUGGCAAGCUUGAGUCUCGUAGAGGGGGGUAGAAUUCCAGGUGUAGCGGUGAAAUGCGUAGAGAUCUGGAGGAAUACCGGUGGCGAAGGCGGCCCCCUGGACGAAGACUGACGCUCAGGUGCGAAAGCGUGGGGAGCAAACAGGAUUAGAUACCCUGGUAGUCCACGCCGUAAACGAUGUCGACUUGGAGGUUGUGCCCUUGAGGCGUGGCUUCCGGAGUUAACGCGUUAAGUCGACCGCCUGGGGAGUACGGCCGCAAGGUUAAAACUCAAAUGAAUUGACGGGGGCCCGCACAAGCGGUGGAGCAUGUGGUUUAAUUCGAUGCAACGCGAAGAACCUUACCUGGUCUUGACAUCCACGGAAGUUUUCAGAGAUGAGAAUGUGCCUUCGGGAACCGUGAGACAGGUGCUGCAUGGCUGUCGUCAGCUCGUGUUGUGAAAUGUUGGGUUAAGUCCCGCAACGAGCGCAACCCUUAUCCUUUGUUGCCAGCGGUCCGGCCGGGAACUCAAAGGAGACUGCCAGUGAUAAACUGGAGGAAGGUGGGGAUGACGUCAAGUCAUCAUGGCCCUUACGACCAGGGCUACACACAUGCUACAAUGGCGCAUACAAAGAGAAGCGACCUCGCGAGAGCAAGCGGACCUCAUAAAGUGCGUCGUAGUCCGGAUUGGAGUCUGCAACUCGACUCCAUGAAGUCGGAAUCGCUAGUAAUCGUGGAUCAGAAUGCCACGGUGAAUACGUUCCCGGGCCUUGUACACACCGCCCGUCACACCAUGGGAGUGGGUUGCAAAAGAAGUAGGUAGCUUAACCUUCGGGAGGGCGCUUACCACUUUGUGAUUCAUA
This 1449-nucleotide ribosomal RNA is filed under the name uncultured organism. RNAcentral describes it as "SSU rRNA". It matches the Rfam family "Bacterial small subunit ribosomal RNA". The record is from RNAcentral.